RNAcentral lists this ribosomal RNA (253 nucleotides) under uncultured bacterium. RNAcentral describes it as "partial 16S ribosomal RNA". It matches the Rfam family "Bacterial small subunit ribosomal RNA", at positions 524 to 776 of the family's 1533-position model. The record is from RNAcentral.
UACGUAGGGUGCAAGCGUUAAUCGGAAUUACUGGGCGUAAAGCGUGCGCAGGCGGUUGUGCAAGACAGAUGUGGAAUCCCCGGGCUCAACCUGGGAAUUGCAUUUGUGACUGCACGGCUAGAGUGUGUCAGAGGGGGGUAGAAUUCCACGUGUAGCAGUGAAAUGCGUAGAGAUGUGGAGGAAUACCGGUGGCGAAGGCGGCAUCCUGGACCGACAUUGACGCUGAGGAGCGAAAGCUAGGGGAGCAAACGGG